CAGGGAUUGCCCUAGUAACGGCGAGUGAAGCGGCAACAGCUCAAAUUUGAAAUCUGGCCCUCUCAGGGUCCGAGUUGUAAUUUGCAGAGGGUGCUUUGGCGAUGGCUGUGGUCUAAGUUCCUUGGAACAGGACGUCACAGAGGGUGAGAAUCCCGUACGUGGCCGCCAGCCUCCGCCGUGUAAAGCCCCUUCGACGAGUCGAGUUGUUUGGGAAUGCAGCUCUAAAUGGGAGGUAAAUUCCUUCUAAAGCUAAAUACUGGCCAGAGACCGAUAGCGCACAAGUAGAGUGAUCGAAAGAUGAAAAGCACUUUGGAAAGAGAGUCAAAAAGCACGUGAAAUUGUUGAAAGGGAAGCGCUUGCAGCCAGACUUGCCUGUAGUUGCUCACCGGGGCUCUUGCCCUGGGCACUCUUCUACGGGCAGGCCAGCAUCAGUCCGGGCGGUUGGAUAAAUGCCUGCUACAUGUACCUCUCUUCGGGGAGGACUUAUAGGGUAGGCGACAUACAGCCAGCCUGGACUGAGGUCCGCGCAUCUGCUAGGAUGCUGGCGUAAUGGCUGUAAGCGGCCCGUCUUGAAACACGGACCAAGGAGUCUAACAUCUAUGCGAGUGUUUGGGUGUAAAGCCCGAGCGCGGAAUGAAAGUGAACGGAGGUGGGAACCCCUCGGGGUGCACCAUCGACCGAUCCUGAUGUCUUCGGAUGGAUUUGAGUAUGAGCAUAGCUGUUGGGACCCGAAAGAUGGUGAACUAUGCCUGAAUAGGGUGAAGCCAGAGGAAACUCUGGUGGAGGCUCGCAGCGGUUCUGACGUGCAAAUCGAUCGUCAAAUUUGGGCAUAGGGGCGAAAGACUAAUCGAAG
This 853-nucleotide ribosomal RNA is filed under the name Westerdykella aquatica. Its description in RNAcentral is "Westerdykella sp. DMH-2018a partial large subunit ribosomal RNA". It matches the Rfam family "Eukaryotic large subunit ribosomal RNA", at positions 69 to 940 of the family's 3401-position model. Lineage: Eukaryota; Fungi; Ascomycota; Dothideomycetes; Pleosporales; Sporormiaceae. The record is from RNAcentral.